RNAcentral lists this ribosomal RNA (496 nucleotides) under uncultured bacterium. RNAcentral's name for it is "partial 16S ribosomal RNA". It matches the Rfam family "Bacterial small subunit ribosomal RNA", at positions 29 to 507 of the family's 1533-position model. The record is from RNAcentral.
AUGAACGCUGGCGGCGUGCCUAAUACAUGCACGUCGAGCGAACGGACGAGAAGCUUGCUUUUCUGAUGUUAGCGGCGGACGGGUGAGUAACACGUUGAUAACCUACCUAUAAGACUGGGAUUACUUCGGGAAACCGGAGCUAAUACCGGAUAAUAUUUUUAACCGCAUGGUUCCAAAGUGAAAGACGGUCUUGCUUUUACUUAUAGAUGGAUCCGCGCUGCAUUAGCUAGUUGGUAAGGUAACGGCUUACCAAGGCAACGAUGCAUAGCCGACCUGAGAGGGUGAUCGGCCACACUGGAACUGAGACACGGUCCAGACUCCUACGGGAGGCAGCAGUAGGGAAUCUUCCGCAAUGGGCGAAAGCCUGACGGAGCAACGCCGCGUGAGUGAUGAAGGUCUUCGGAUCGUAAAACUCUGUUAUUAGGGAAGAACAUAUGUGUAAGUAACUGUGCACAUCUUGACGGUACCUAAUCAGAAAGCCACGGCUAACUACGUG